GUUAAACUCUUGGAACUCAGUUUGGUUGAUACUCAAGCCUCAAGGAUAAACACCAAUGAAAGCAGCAUAACAUGAUAUUAUGCUCUCCAGUAGCUCCUGCUCACCUCAAAUCCUGUAGAAAGCUGAGAAUGUUCUUGGAUUACUGAUCCUCUUGCUUCUAACAGUGAACACUGAUACCACAGGCAUGUACCACCAUCCUAAUCUUCAAUGAUGUUAUUUUAAACAUGGGAACCCUAAAACCUGACUCAGCAUUGCCCACAUUCCUGUGUUGAAACCUAACCUCCAAGAUAUGUGAAGCAUGGAUUUUCAUUUGAAGCUCAUUGUCAAGACAGAAUAGAAUACAGUUGGUGUCUAUAGUCAUCUUUAUGUGGCAAAAUGGCUUGGAUCUCAGUAUUCAGCCUCUUCAUUUAGAAAUUGUUUUCACUGGACUAAAUAAAUAUACUUAUAGAAAACAUCAUAGAAUGGACACUCUUAGUCACCAUAAAUAUAUAUUUCAAUGGAACCAGUAUAUAUAUGUACAUUGAUUACCACUAUCCAUCUCCAAAACGUUGACAUUAUCUGCACUGAAACUCUAUUAUUUAUCGGCUUGUUUUUCAUAGCAUGAUGACCACAAAAAUCCCUCAUGUGAAAGCAUAUAACAGGAACUUGAUCUUUAUUUAAGGCUGAAUAAAGUAAUAGAGAAAAGAGAAAGGGACACAGGCUAAUUGCUAUCUCUGAGCAAGAACUUACUUGAAUCUGUGCUGUGGAUAUCGCUCUAUAUAAAUAAAGCACCAAUUGGCCAAUGAACAGGCAGGAAGUAUAGGCGGGACAAAGAGAGAAGAG
Non-coding RNA from Peromyscus maniculatus bairdii (prairie deer mouse), 822 nucleotides. NCBI's taxonomy places the organism in Eukaryota, Metazoa, Chordata, Mammalia, Rodentia, Cricetidae. The record is from RefSeq and is a predicted model, not a curated record.